Molecule: ribosomal RNA, 458 nt
Filed under: uncultured bacterium
Lineage: Bacteria
Description: partial 16S ribosomal RNA
Rfam family: Bacterial small subunit ribosomal RNA
Source: RNAcentral
CCUACGGGAGGCAGCAGUGAGGAAUAUUGGUCAAUGGCCGGGAGGCUGAACCAGCCAAGUCGCGUGAGGGAAGACGGCCCUACGGGUUGUAAACCUCUUUUGUCAGGGAGCAAGGUGCAGGUCGGGACCUGCCGUGAGAGUACCUUACGAACAGCAUCGGCUAACUCCGUGCCAGUAGCCGCGGUAAUACGGAGGAUGCGAGUGUUAUCGGAAUUUAUGGGUGUUAAGGGGUGCGCAGGCGGAGGCACACGUCAGCGGUAAAAUCGCGGGGCUCAACCCCGCCCCGCCGUUGAAACUGUGUCCCUGGAGUGCGCUAGGGGUAGGUGGAAUGCGUGGUGUAGCGGUGAAAUGCGUAGAGAUCGCGCAGAACUCCGGUCGCGAAGGCGGCCUACCGGAGGGAAACUGACGCUCAUGCGCGAAAGCGUGGAGAGCGAACAGGAUUAGAUACCCGAGUAGUC